GACGAACGCUGGCGGCGUGCUUAACACAUGCAAGUCGAGCGAACAGACGAGGAGCUUGCUCCUCUGACGUUAGCGGCGGACGGGUGAGUAACACGUGGAUAACCUACCUAUAAGACUGGGAUAACUUCGGGAAACCGGAGCUAAUACCGGAUAAUAUAUUGAACCGCAUGGUUCAAUAGUGAAAGACGGUUUUGCUGUCACUUAUAGAUGGAUCCGCGCCGCAUUAGCUAGUUGGUAAGGUAACGGCUUACCAAGGCAACGAUGCGUAGCCGACCUGAGAGGGUGAUCGGCCACACUGGAACUGAGACACGGUCCAGACUCCUACGGGAGGCAGCAGUACGGAAUCUUCCGCAAUGGGCGAAAGCCUGACGGAGCAACGCCGCGUGAGUGAUGAAGGUCUUCGGAUCGUAAAACUCUGUUAUUAGGGAAGAACAAAUGUGUAAGUAACUAUGCACGUCUUGACGGUACCUAAUCAGAAAGCCACGGCUAACUACGUGCCAGCAGCCGCGGUAAUA
This 515-nucleotide ribosomal RNA is filed under the name uncultured Staphylococcus sp. RNAcentral describes it as "bacterial SSU rRNA". It matches the Rfam family "Bacterial small subunit ribosomal RNA", at positions 28 to 525 of the family's 1533-position model. The record is from RNAcentral. Lineage: Bacteria; Bacillati; Bacillota; Bacilli; Caryophanales; Staphylococcaceae.